Molecule: ribosomal RNA, 1139 nt
Filed under: marine metagenome
Description: SSU rRNA
Rfam family: Eukaryotic small subunit ribosomal RNA
Source: RNAcentral
CCUGGUUGAUCCUGCCAGUAGUCAUACGCUCAUCUCAAAGAUUAAGCCAUGCAUGUCUAAGUAUAAGCAUUUAUACAGCGAAACUGCGAAUGGCUCAUUAUAUCAGUUAUAGUUUAUUUGAUAGUCCCUACUACUUGGAUAACCGUAGUAAUUCUAGAGCUAAUACAUGCACCAAGUCCUGACUGCUUGCGGAAAGGAUGUAUUUAUUAGAUAUAAACCAAUGGCGGGCUUGCCCGUGUGUCGGUGAAUCACAAUAACUUAGCGGAUCGCAGUGACCUUGAGUCGGCGAUGAAUCAUUCAAGUUUCUGCCCUAUCAGCUUUCGAUGGUAGGGUAUUGGCCUACCAUGGCGUUAACGGGUAACGGAGAAUUAGGGUUCGAUUCCGGAGAGGGAGCCUGAGAAACGGCUACCACUUCUACGGAAGGCAGCAGGCGCGUAAAUUACCCAAUCCUGACAUAGGGAGGUAGUGACAAAAAAUAACAAUACGUGACCUAACAGUCGUGUAAUUGGAAUGAGGCAAAUUUAACAUCCUUGCCGAGUAUCAAUUGGAGGGCAAGUCUGGUGCCAGCAGCCGCGGUAAUUCCAGCUCCAAUAGCGUAUAUUAAAGUUGUUGCAGUUAAAAAGCUCGUAGUUGGAUUUCUGAUGAGGAUUGCCGGUCCGGGGCUUUUGGCCCUGUGUACUGGUGUGUUCUUGUCUUCCUUGUGGGGAACUUGUCUGGCAUUGGUUUGUCGGGCUUGGGAGCCACAUCAUUUACUGUGAAAAAAUUAGAGUGUUUAAAGCAGGCAUAUGCCUUGAAUACAUUAGCAUGGAAUAAUAAGAUAGGACUUUGGCCUAUUUUGUUGGUUUGCAAGCCAGAGUAAUGAUUAAUAGGGAUAGUUGGGGGUAUUCGUAUUUAAUUGUCAGAGGUGAAAUUCUUGGAUUUAUGAAAGACGAACAACUGCGAAAGCAUCUACCAAGGAUGUUUUCAUUAAUCAAGAACGAAAGUCAGGGGAUCGAAGAGGAUUAGAUACCCUCGUAGUCUUGACCAUAAACUAUGCCGACUCGGGAUUAGCAGAUGUUGAAUUUGAUUGACUCUGUUAGCACCGUAUGAAAAAUCAAAGUCUUUGGGUUCCGGGGGGAGUAUGGUCGCAAGGCUGAAAC